AUUUAAAUGGUGUAAUAAACACUUAACUUUUUCAUUGUUAAAUUCCUUUAGGUUUAAAUU
RNAcentral lists this transfer RNA (60 nucleotides) under Rhipicephalus sanguineus (brown dog tick). Its description in RNAcentral is "tRNA-Glu". The record is from RNAcentral. Lineage: Eukaryota; Metazoa; Arthropoda; Arachnida; Ixodida; Ixodidae.